GAACAAACAGCAUAAUAAAUGCAGUAUGAUUUCGGCUCAUAAAGUAGAGACAUCUCUUUUGUUCU
RNAcentral lists this transfer RNA (65 nucleotides) under Sclerolinum brattstromi. Its description in RNAcentral is "tRNA-Arg". The record is from RNAcentral. Lineage: Eukaryota; Metazoa; Annelida; Polychaeta; Sabellida; Siboglinidae.